UACGUGGGUGGCAAGCGUUAUCCGGAAUUAUUGGGCGUAAAGCGCGCGUAGGCGGUUUCUUAAGUCUGAUGUGAAAGCCCACGGCUCAACCGUGGAGGGUCAUUGGAAACUGGGAAACUUGAGUGCAGAAGAGGAAAGUGGAAUUCCAUGUGUAGCGGUGAAAUGCGCAGAGAUAUGGAGGAACACCAGUGGCGAAGGCGACUUUCUGGUCUGUAACUGACGCUGAUGUGCGAAAGCGUGGGGAUCAAACAGG
This 253-nucleotide ribosomal RNA is filed under the name uncultured bacterium. RNAcentral's name for it is "partial 16S ribosomal RNA". It matches the Rfam family "Bacterial small subunit ribosomal RNA", at positions 524 to 776 of the family's 1533-position model. The record is from RNAcentral.